This is a long non-coding RNA of Telopea speciosissima, 182 nucleotides long. RefSeq lists it as uncharacterized. The record is from RefSeq and is a predicted model, not a curated record. The transcript is spliced from 2 exons. Lineage: Eukaryota; Viridiplantae; Streptophyta; Magnoliopsida; Proteales; Proteaceae.
GAAGCUCACCUGGAUCCCAUGCUCAAGACAGUAAAGCUCCCAGCAGGAAUUUCCGACCUGGAUUCCGGCUUGACCGAUGUGGAUGGAGAUGCACUCUCUCAUUUUUGUGUGAGGAGGAGGAAGAAGGAAGUUUGUUUCGCAAAGACGUAUACGAAGACGUCUCGGCGAAAUAUAGAGCGUUU